RNAcentral lists this ribosomal RNA (427 nucleotides) under uncultured bacterium. Its description in RNAcentral is "bacterial SSU rRNA". It matches the Rfam family "Bacterial small subunit ribosomal RNA", at positions 86 to 509 of the family's 1533-position model. The record is from RNAcentral.
GGCUGACUAGUGGCGGACGGGUGAGUAAUACAUCGGAACGUGCCCGAUCGUGGGGGAUAACUACUCGAAAGAGGGGCUAAUACCGCAUACGAUCUACGGAUGAAAGCGGGGGAUCGCAAGACCUCGCGCGGACGGAGCGGCCGAUGGGAGAUUAGGUAGUUGGUGGGAUAAAAGCUUACCAAGCCGACGAUCUGUAGCUGGUCUGAGAGGACGACCAGCCACACUGGGACUGAGACACGGCCCAGACUCCUACGGGAGGCAGCAGUGGGGAAUUUUGGACAAUGGGGGAAACCCUGAUCCAGCCAUGCCGCGUGCAGGAUGAAGGCCUUCGGGUUGUAAACUGCUUUUGUACGGAACGAAAAGACUCUUUCUAAUACAGAGGGUCCAUGACGGUACCGUAAGAAUAAGCACCGGCUAACUACGUGCC